This 486-nucleotide ribosomal RNA is filed under the name uncultured bacterium. RNAcentral's name for it is "partial 16S ribosomal RNA". It matches the Rfam family "Bacterial small subunit ribosomal RNA", at positions 30 to 507 of the family's 1533-position model. The record is from RNAcentral.
AUUGAACGCUGGCGGCAUGCCUUACACAUGCAAGUCGAACGGCAGCACGGGUGCUUGCCCCUGGUGGCGAGUGGCGAACGGGUGAGUAAUACAUCGGAACAUGUCCUGUAGUGGGGGAUAGCCCGGCGAAAGCCGGAUUAAUACCGCAUACGAUCUACGGAUGAAAGCGGGGGCCCUUCGGGCCUCGCGCUAUAGGGUUGGCCGAUGGCUGAUUAGCUGGUUGGUGGGGUAAAGGCCUACCAAGGCGACGAUCAGCAGCUGGUCUGAGAGGACGACCAGCCACACUGGAACUGAGACACGGCCCAGACUCCUACGGGAGGCAGCAGUGGGGAAUUUUGGACAAUGGGCGAAAGCCUGAUCCAGCAAUGCCGCGUGUGUGAAGAAGGCCUUCGGGUUGUAAAGCACUUUUGUCCGGAAAGAAAUCCUUGGCCCUAAUACGGUCGGGGGAUGACGGUACCGGAAGAAUAAGCACCGGCUAACUACGUG